AAAGUACUCCCUCCGUCCCAAAAUUCUUGUCUUAGAUUUGUCUAGAUACGGAUAUAUCAAGUAACAUUUUAGUAUUAGAUACAUCCGUAUCUAGACAAAUCUAAGACAAGGAAUUUGGAACAGAGGAGUAGUUG
Molecule: non-coding RNA, 134 nt
Organism: Triticum aestivum (bread wheat)
Lineage: Eukaryota; Viridiplantae; Streptophyta; Magnoliopsida; Poales; Poaceae
Source: Rfam